This 432-nucleotide small RNA is filed under the name Arabidopsis thaliana (thale cress). Its description in RNAcentral is "ATSL203330". Lineage: Eukaryota; Viridiplantae; Streptophyta; Magnoliopsida; Brassicales; Brassicaceae. The record is from RNAcentral.
UUUUUCUUAGUUUUUCUUUAUGGCUUUUCUUAGUUUUUUCCGCAUUUGGUGUAAUUAUAUAUUGUAAGUUCACUUAUGGCUAAUAACAUUUUCACUAUCUCAUAAAAUUUCAGGUUUUUCGUAUAUGUUAGUUGGGAUCAUAAGGAAAAAAUAAUCUACGUUACGAAGAAAGAGCUGAAUUGUGGAAUUUAGAAGAUGAGUAAUUUGAGGAGUUAAUAAUUCAGCCAACUUUGAGUUACCAUGAUCAAUAUUUCGAAAGAGCACCAAUGCAAAUUGAUGGAGGUAUAGGAUGGAGAAAUAUUUGGCAUCGACUACAAUAAGAUGUUGUUGCUUGUCUUCAGUUAUUACGAAUGUCACUCACAGCAUUCACAACAUUGUGCAGUCUGUUACAAACAAAUUACAAUCUAUAACCAACACUAUAUAUAAGCAUUG